AUUCUAUUCCUCAGAAGUUCAUGUUCUCCCUCUCUUCUGCUAGAGGACAUGAGACAGACAAGCCCUAAGCAGGCUUCACAUCCCUUUGGGUCAUGUCUGCACUGUGGAGGUGACACUUCCAAGGCCUAGGAUUCCAAACUGAGUGGAGGGAUGCAGAUGGAAGGACGUCUGACUGCAUACAACAGCAAACUACCUAGGCCAUGACUUCUGGGGCUUUCCCUGGGGCUGCCACACCACAUGCUUCUCCCUUUCCUCUUCCCUUGUAUCUUACAGUUCUCCUGAUCUGUCAUUUGCUGCAGAGUCUCUGUGAUGUUGGGGAUCUCCACUGGACCCCAGGUGGUCUCCUUCUGCUCAGCAUCUGUCACCACAUGUUCCCCUGCAAGCUGGCCUUCAUGUGUGGGCCCCAUUCCCUCGGCGGGAAAGCACUAUUCUUUUCAGGUUCCAAAAUAGUUUCUCGAAGUUGA
Mastomys coucha (southern multimammate mouse) is the source of this 464-nucleotide long non-coding RNA. RefSeq lists it as uncharacterized. Lineage: Eukaryota; Metazoa; Chordata; Mammalia; Rodentia; Muridae. The transcript has 2 exons. The record is from RefSeq and is a predicted model, not a curated record.